This 1362-nucleotide long non-coding RNA is filed under the name Homo sapiens (human). Its description in RNAcentral is "CNN3 divergent transcript". Lineage: Eukaryota; Metazoa; Chordata; Mammalia; Primates; Hominidae. The record is from RNAcentral.
CCUCCGCCCGCUGCUGGAACACCAAUAGCAGCGUUGGAGCCUCUGGGCCGGAGGAACUGGGGCCUCCACCGACACCUGCUUCUUCCCUCACCUCGCAGCCUUCCACACCUGUUGAUCUGACCUCUGCCCCGCUGCCGCCCAGGAGUAACCUAAGGCUUUUGGCCUGAUUCGAGCUCACUCCGUCUAAACCUCUAAAUGCGGUGCGAAAAAAUCCUGGGGAAUGUGCCAUGCAAAGCCUGGGCAUUUCAAGUGCUUUUCUGGAUUCGCAUCAACUCCUCUUUACAGGCAUCUUUAUCCGGAAUUCAGCUCGUCCCAAACCCCACGUGGUGUAGCUCUGCUUGUGUUUUUGAAUCCCGGGGCCUCUUUGAAUCAGAAGCCCUUUGUAUAGAGAUAAGUAUCCUUUAGGCCAGAAUCAGCCUCCAUUUUUUUCGCAGUCCCAUUUCCUACCCGUAAUACUUUCUUCUGAUUUUAAAGCCAUUUGAUAGAGAAGGGACAGGGAACAGAACCUUCGCCCCCCGCCUGAGCAGCUGGUAGACUAGAUAUCUUCCAAACAUUAUCUCAUUUACUUCCCUGGAGUUACAAAUAGGUAGAUUUCAUGUCCGUUGAGGGGUGAGAAAGCUGAAACUUUGAGACUUAAGAAUCCUGGCCGAGGUCAGCCUCCUCCGAAGCUUCAUCUCUUGCCACCACUUUCUGGUGCACACCUAGGACAGAUUUCAAUCCCUGAGAUCCCAGGAUGAAACCUAUGUUUGCCAAAUACCAGCUACUGUGCCAGAAGAGAUCAUGGAACCAGGUGUGGAAAGCUGCUUGAGAAGAGGAGCCAAAACAUCAUAGUUGAACCGUCCUGGAAUAGAAUGCGUAUGAGAGUUCCAGUUCCUCUGCUUCCUCACCAACAGUUGACUCGCCCUGAAUUCUUUCUUGUGUGAAAUCCAAGAGCCCUCUCUUGGGGUUGGAUCGGGACCCUGUUCCUGUAACAAGUCCACAAUGCCAGAGAAUUAAAGAGAACCACAAAGCUGAACCUCAAAAAGUUAGCCUGGCGAGGGGAGGAUGAUGAGAUUUCCCCUGUUGUCACAUAAACAAGGAAGUAAAGGGGGCCCCUUGUGCUCUCAGAACUCCAAGCAUGAAACGAUUUUCUGCCAUUUCAGUUCCUGUUAUCGUGCUUUGAGGUGCACUGAACUGCAGCAAACCCAGGGGAUCCAAGGCUACGUUGAAAAGCCUUUGACCACAGUGCAGGGAGCAGAAGACAUUAAUGACGUGAUGUCGACACAGCCCGCACUCAGGAUCCUCCAGGAAAAGAACACAGAGAUAACCCCGGAUCGAUGGUACUUUUUGAAAAUGCUUUAUUGCAAAAGAGUGGCUAGGGUU